AGAUGGCGGAGAGUAUAAUAAAUCUCACCCUAGAGAUCCUCCUCCGGCUUACUGGAGAGGACUACACAGUAGUGAAGAAGACCUCUAGUGAGCGCUGUCAGGCCCCCGUGUCUGAAGGAUGGGGAAGAACCCUAAGCCCAAUCAUGGGGCCUCGACUUCAACCCCUGAUACAUGAGGAAAUCAAUAGAGAGAAGAUCCUAGAACUCACCAACAAGAUGAUUGAGCUGCUGACUGGAGAGGUUCCUAUAAGGUGUCAGGAUGUCACCGUCUAUUUCUCCAUGGAGGAGUGG
Molecule: long non-coding RNA, 290 nt
Organism: Bufo bufo (common toad)
Lineage: Eukaryota; Metazoa; Chordata; Amphibia; Anura; Bufonidae
Exons: 3
Source: RefSeq, a predicted model, not a curated record